This 142-nucleotide unclassified non-coding RNA is filed under the name uncultured Rhodotorula. Its description in RNAcentral is "sequence contains ITS1". Lineage: Eukaryota; Fungi; Basidiomycota. The record is from RNAcentral.
AUGAAAUGCAAGGACGCUCUUUUUAGAGGUCCGACCCAAAUCAUUUUCCUUUACACUGUGCACAUACUACUUUUUACACCAAUUUUUAACACAUCAGUCUUAAGAAUGUAAAUCAAGUCUCGAAAGAGCAAUAAAUAAAACA